RNAcentral lists this ribosomal RNA (437 nucleotides) under uncultured bacterium. RNAcentral describes it as "partial 16S ribosomal RNA". It matches the Rfam family "Bacterial small subunit ribosomal RNA", at positions 29 to 507 of the family's 1533-position model. The record is from RNAcentral.
AGCGAACGCUGGCGGCAUGCUUAACACAUGCAAGUCGAGCGGACAUCCUUGUGGUUUCCGCGGCAGACGGGUGAGUCACGCGUGGGAACGUGCCCUUCGGUUCGGAAUAACUCAGGGAAACUUGAGCUAAUACCGGAUACGUGCGAGAGCAGAAAGGUUUAUCUUCCGAAGGAUCGGCCCGCGUCUGAUUAGCUAGUUGGUGAGUUUACGGCUCACCAAUGCGACGACCAGUAGAUGGGCUGAGAGGAUGAGCAGACACACUGGCACUGGGACACGGCCCAGACUCCUACGGGAGGCAGCAGUGGGGGAUAGUGGACAAUGGGGGCAACCAUGAUGCAGCCAUGCCGGGUGAGUGAUGACGGCCUGAGGGAUGUAAAGCUCUUUUAACCGGGACGAUAAUGACGGUACCGGAGGAAUAAGCCCCGGCUAACUUCGUG